RNAcentral lists this unclassified non-coding RNA (22 nucleotides) under Mus musculus (house mouse). RNAcentral describes it as "oocyte_clustered_small_RNA9149". The record is from RNAcentral. Lineage: Eukaryota; Metazoa; Chordata; Mammalia; Rodentia; Muridae.
AGCUACGGCGACGCGGAGCCGG